Molecule: long non-coding RNA, 35769 nt
Filed under: Eucalyptus grandis
Lineage: Eukaryota; Viridiplantae; Streptophyta; Magnoliopsida; Myrtales; Myrtaceae
Description: long non-coding RNA (EGRA_LNC005789)
Source: RNAcentral
UUCUCUUCCCUUGUACAGCCAAAUGGUGAUAAGAAUAUAAACAACAACAACAAAAGAAUUAUUAUUAUUAUUGUUAUUAUUUAUUAUUAUUUAUUGUUGUUGUUGUUGUUGUUAAUAUUAAUUCCAAACGAUUAUUGAGGAACAAAGGGUAUGGUUUUAGUGAGUAUAAGAUGUGAGGGAAUUAUUUAGGGAGAUUCGGGGCAAGCGGAAGAAUGCCUGGAGAUGCUUUAUUGGAAAGAUGUAAAUUGUUGGGGGUGUGCAUGUCAGAAGUAGUAGGGAAAACCCUCGCAAGAUAGGGACAUAUAUCCCAAACAAUGGUAUUUUCCUAGCUUUGGAGGAGACAUUAUUGAAAGGGCACAGUAGUGUAAAGGACAAGCCUAAGACUGGAGGGGCUUUUUAUGGUUUAUAUUUUGGUAAUCUACUGCAAAUGGCUUCCCUCAAAUUUUAUCCCUUUCUGGGUUACUAAGCAUGUUUUGCUCUCUUUCUUUUGCACGUCAAUGACUAUCUUCUGAUUGUUUCCCACUUUUUUUGGGGUCAAGACUCUUUGAUUUGUCUGCCAAUGCCGUGCAACCAGAGCAAGAAUUUUACCUACAGCCUGUGGACCCUGGUAAAUCAAGAAAAGCUGCAUCAAUUUGCACUGUUGAUUUCUAUUUUGGAGGUGAUCACUUGUGGGACAGAUUCAGCGUAAGUCAUGAGGAAAAAGAUUUUUUAGUACAAUGACAGGGAUUAGAUGCAGUCCUACGCUUACCUUUGUUUGUCCGAUAAAUUGCAUUGAUAGCCAAUGUGGAGGAAAAUGUUUGUGUCUCAUUUAUUCUUCAGCCAGCAGUAUUGUCAUAUAGUGUCUUGGAGAUGCAAUUUGCUGCCCCUUUCUGCAAUUCUUCAGUUGAUUUCGUGGAACGCUCACAAGAAUUAUCCUUGCCAUUUGAAUUUUAUUUUAAUUGUGACUUUGACCAUAAUCCUGUGAUCUUUGUUUUUGUAGGUUUUUGUUUUGUUUACUGAUGGUUCAGUUUACAUCCUUUGUCCGAUUGUCCCAUUCAAAAGGUAAUCUUGUGUCUUUACUUUGUACUUGAAAUUUCAUAGUUGAUGUCCUAAUAUUACCUUUGUGACGGGAAGGUGACUGGUUUGCAUUGUUGAAUCACCUCUUAUCAAAAAAAUACAAGGUGGGGUUGCAUGUGAUAGACAACCCUCCCCUGAACUUUGCAAAGUGGGGAUCCUUGUCCACUAGGGACGCCCUUUUAUUCACAAGAAUUAUCCUUGCCUCAGUUGUUGACAGAUGCUGUCUCUUCCCUUUAGCUGUAAAGUUUCCAGUUCAUAAUUUGGUGUUAGAAUUACUGACACAUGUUAAAGGGCUUAGGGUAAUUUUUUUUUGUCUUACCAAAUUUUUGCUUAGUAAGACUAAUUGAGUAAUGUCAACUUUCAUCAACAGUGCUCACAAAUGGCAAUCUAUACUGGAGAUAUAUGGUGAUGCUCAUACAUAUGGUCUAAAAUCAACAAAUCCAACUGCUGCACGUAACUCCAGCAUGGCAAUAUCUUGGUUGGAAGCUACAUUUCCUGAAUUAGCUCAGCAAGAAGCAGAAGGGGCAAAUCUAGCUACUGUAAAGGCACAUCCUUAUGCAUUGUUUGAUGCAUCUCUUUCUUUACAGGUAUUUUGUUACUGCCCAUCAACAAUGUGAAUGUCCUCCUGAAUCCAUGAUGUGCGAUAAUAUUGACAGCUGACAGGCAAUUAAUGCUGCGAGAUGCAUGCAUGACGUAUACUUACUCAAAUAUCUACCUAGUGAACAUUGCUUGCAUAGUGAACAUCAUGUGCUCACACCCACAUAUGUGGCACACUGAUGUUGCCUUGGUAUAAUGCUAAUUUGGCCAAAUAUUUCCCUCAAAUAACUUUACUUGCGCCUAGAAUAUAUUUUUCCAUCUUGUGCUUUAUUUUUAGGAUGGUGCAAUGAACUGAAGAGAAGUAUUGGGUUGUUUUGGUCUUUUUUUCAGUAUAAGAUAUUAUGAUUCAUGUAUUUCCCCAUCAAGAUUGUGUGUGCAUGUGUGUUUUUCUACAAUCUGAAAGUGAUUUAGGCUAAGGGCUGAUUCUGUUUAUCGUUGUAUUGAUUUCCAGGGGCCUCUACAUAAAGCCUGUCAUGGAAGGGAAGAUGAUGUAGCAGUUAGGGGAGCAGAGUGUGAAGGCUGUGCAGUCAGUUUUCUCUAUAAUUUAGUUAGCAAAGAUUCAAUACUUGUGACAACUUGGAGUGGCGGUCAAAUGCAAGUGGAUGCCCUAGCUGAUGAAAUUCAGCCAGUUUGGAACAUAGGCAGUCCACCUCGUCUGCGGGUUGACUCCUUCGACCGGAUACUGGGUCUUGCUAUGAUUUGCGAGUCAAACUCUGAGGAGCCUUCCAAGUGGAAUAUUAACAAACCAUUAGAACACACGAUUUGGUUAGGGCAGCCUCCUCCUUUGCUAAGAUUGGCAAUCGUGGAUUUGGCUUUGCCUCAACAGACCAAUAGUGAUGCGCGAAUUAUGAUGUUUGCUGACCCCCUAGUGCCAGAAAGGAUCUAUGCUCUUCAUUCUGGAGGAAUUGAUUCAAUAGUAUUGCAUUUUCUCCCCUUUACGAGUCAAGCAAAUGGCAAGGAGGAAGUUGUUAGAACACCCUCCAUAAAUCCUGUUUUGAGCACCUGCCUUGAGGAAACAUCCUCGCCAGCUCCUCUUUGUGGUUCUCUCUCAUUAUCUGAUUCAUUUGGUUAUUCAUGGAUUGUUGGAGUUACUUCCAGUUGGGAAUGUAUUGUUGUAGAGAUGAAGACUUGGGAUGUCUUGCUUCCUGUUAGUGUUGAUCCAGAGAAGAAAGAUAUUAGCCUGGAAAAGUCAAAGGAGAUGGAAACUCCUGCUAUGAUCAGCAAAGAACUUAUUAAUGGUCCUAAAGUGGUUCUUGUUCCCCAGACACCAUCGAAUCUGCGAUCUGUUGCUGCUGAUUCUAUUGAAGGCCGGUCAAUCCUUCAUCAGUACUUUAAGAUUUUCCAUGAGAAUUAUGUGGAAUAUGCACAUAAGGUAAGAACAUAUUCUUUAAUUCUAUGAAAGAGAAUUGUGGGUUAAUUGGACCUUUGGCGUUUCAUUAAGUAGGUUGGCAUGCUCCUUUUCUUCUCUUUCUUGGAGGCGCAUUUUGGGUUGGUUGUGGCUUUUAACUGUAGUUCUAUCUUUUGACUUUAUCUGUCUUGGAAUUAAGGAUCUGGUUUUAUUUAUAACGAGCUUGUUAGUUUAGCACUAAACAUAAGCAAGAAAUUUUCCUGCCAAAAUUCAAAGAUUGUCCAAAUAUCAAAAUGUUUUAAGAAGCUAUGCACGAAUUGACAUGUCAAUGGCAUUAUGUUUUGAAGGUUCAAAUGUUUUGAGUUGAAAAAAGUAAAAGCCCAUGUAUAGUAAGAUUUAGAUUAAGCAAAAGGCAAAAUGUGAAAGUCAAUCUAGACUUGAUGGCUUAUUGAAUUCUUUUAACUAUGUGCAAAGUUAUAGACAUUCACAUUUGAAGUCACUUUUUCCACUAAAUGUCAUACCGUGAAAGUCAUCUAGCUUGUAUGGCAGAAACCCUAUUUGUAAGCCUCCUGGAAACCGUUUCCUUUGUGCUUGUGUGCAUAUUGGUGCAUGACUGCCUAAUGUUUUGCAAAAGAACUUUUUGAGGCUCCGCUUUGCAUAUCCUUAAUUUUCAGGAUUUUUCCCUGGUUGGCUUCAUUUAGUUUACCAGCCUAAUGUCAUACAUAUACUUUUGGACCUGUCAUAAAGUUGAGGCACAUGGGAGGCUUUUAGUCGCUAGCUCAUUGGCAGGAAGAUCGAGUCACUGAUGACUACGUAAAUCUUAUCUUCCAGGUUCACUUUGAGCUUAAGCAUCAUGCCCCUCAGCUAAAGCGAAUAAUUGAUGACCAGCAUGCUCGUUUAGUUGAGGCACAGGAGAGGCUUUUGAAAGUUGAGAGAAAGCAGGCAGUGUUGGAUGAAAGGAUAGAUCAUGCACUCCAGCAGCAUGAGAUUCUGGAUGAACGUUUAAAAUGUUUAAGGAAGCUACCUGUAGCUCACAAGAAACCACUCUCUAGGGCUGAGCGAGACUUCAAGUCCGAGCUUGGUAAUCAAUACCUUUACAGCUUCUUAAAUCUUUAAUCCCGAGUCAUCAACUGUUUUAUUUGCUGAGAUCAAAGAGAUAAAUUACUCGCUUAUCAGUUUCAUUUGAUACCAGUAUGUCAUGGUUACUCGUUGUUUUCUGCAGUUAUACCUGUCGAGUUGAUUCGAACCCCUUGUUUUUAUGAAUCGCAUUUUUUGCGGUUAUGCAGACCAUUUUGCAGGAGUGGAGUUGGAUGCUUUGCAUUCAUCUAUAGAUUCUAUAUCUACCCGGCUACGGAGGUACACUCAAUCAAUAAAGAAAGAGCAGACAUCAAGGAAGAAGUCUCUUGUUCAAGACAACCAGAUCUCUCAACUAAAAUCCUCCCUCGAGAAACUUUCCCUUGUCAACAGCGACAACUUGAAAAAGGUCAAAGUCGUUGAAAAAGCUAUAAGCAACAAGGAGAAGCAGUAGUGCAUUUUCUCUGCUAGAAUCACUCGGGAAGCGUCCUGGCGACGAACGUGACAAUUCAAUAUCUCAAAGGGACGGAUGCCUUGUCAUUUUGCUCUGGAGGCGUCUUCAUGAUCUAUACCAGUCUCUGCAAGAUGGCUGGCUUUCGAUUUGGGUCUACAUUUCGUGGAAUGAUCGGCAGGCUUCUUUUGUGCUGCAUAUAAUUAUUCUGUAGAAUACAAGCAAUGUAUCAAAGCCAGCUAGACUCAAAAGCACUUUACAAGCGCUGUUAACUAUUGAUUAAAUCUUUCAUAAGAUGUGAAAUCCAUAUCUUAGUGAGGUCUAGCAUGACCCAUCUAUCUUUUGAGUGAUUUGAUUUUUUCUAGUACUAUUCUGACUAUACUACCAAUGGAGCGCAAUGAUCAUGGUUUUAAAAUCGUGCGAGGUUUUAAAAUUGUGCAAUGACCAUAAUUUUAGAAUUAGUGGAAUGGAAUGGGUUGGAUAGUCGUUGCUUGUUUCGUGUACUCAACGAGCAAAGUUUUAAAAUUGUGCUUGUCAGUAUCUGUCUUCCCAUCUCUCCCCGUCUGCUUCAGAAGUGCCCCGCAAGUUUCUUCUUGGUGGUUGCGAUAGUUCGUCCAUUGACCGAGAAACCAUCUCAACCUCAACGAGCAAGAUGAGCCAAUACGAAAUCGAUGUCAUUUUGUCGAACGCCUGAACCUUAACGAGCAAGUUGAGCAAAUUACAUACAUCUAAUCGUGUAAGAGUUUCAACAAACUUUAAGCCUAAUGAGCUGUGCGGGACUGCCACUAGUGUGUAGGGCAACCACGGAUCCAUAGAGACCAUCCUUGAUGUAGAUCAAAGUCUUGUGCUUUCCUUGCUCAGCAAUAACUCCGCUUUUAAUUACCACGAUCACAUCUGCAAUCUUGAUUGUGGAUAACCUAUGAGCCACCACGCGUGUGGUUCGGUGCACCAUGACGCGGUCCAAUGUCUCUUGAACCGUCUUCUCAGAUUCUGUAUCUAGCACACUCGUAGCCUUGUUAAGCAGAAAUCUUUUUAUGGCUUUUAACUAAAACGCAAGCAAUAGCCACUCAUUGCUUCUGACUGCCCGACAGAUGAGCCCCUCUUUCACCAACCAUUGUAGCAUAUCCCCGAACGUAAAAUUCGUACUGUAAAAAUCAAAUAAGCCCAUUUGAAAGCAAAUGUAAGUCAUGCACACGGAAUAAAUAGCGACUGUCUAACCUGUUGCAAUCCACUAAUGAACACGUGGGCGUGUGCUAAUUCUGAUGCGGCGAGUAUUUCUUGCUCGGCUGCAUCUCUAUCCUUUCCAUAAGCUGUGUUGGCCCGAUUUGUCUCGUUGAAUAAAACCGAUUCUUGGCUGAUCACACCCAUUUGCUGCCUCAACCACUUGAGUUGCAGCUACCGAAUAUCCACUCCGUCGAGUGUAAUGCGACCAAAAUCAGGAUCACAAAAGCGUUGCAGCAGCACUAUCACUGUUGACUUUCCACUCUCACUUUCCCACUUUCCCACUUUCUCUGACCAAAGCAACAAUCUGAGAGGAACAAUCGCGUAAUUGUCAAACCUUUUGUUCCUCGUGUUCAGGUGAUCGAAACACUAGUGUUAUUCUCGUAAUUCAAUGCUCAGUUGAUGAAGUCAUAUUUAAAGUUAGGCAUCAGAUAAAGUCCGAAGUUUUACCUUUCCGCUGUAAACGGCCAGGCUGAGAUCACAGAAUAUUUGAAUGUCCGGCCUAGAGGUAUAUUUGAAGCUGACAUGGCGAAGCUCAAUCAACCCUUCACAUUGUCUUGUGUCUAUCUUGGAUUUGCGGUCUAUCAUUGCUAAAAUGGAAGCAGCAAGUAACACCUGUGACUUUGAUGGAAUCGGCAGUGAAGGAACUUGAUUGUGAAAUUGCACUGGCUGCCACGGUCAGAGCCAAAAAAAGGAAAAAAAAGAAAAAGAAAAGAAUAAAAAAAGAGGAGCCUGCAGUUACAGAACCUGUUAUGUGUUGCCGUUCGAUAAUCAUGGUGAGUCGUUACUUCGUGAUCAUCUUCACAACAGGUAUGAAGAUGAUCACGAAGUAACGGCUCACCAUGAUUAUCCAAUGGCAACACGCAGUAGAGAUUCACAAUGUGCUUGCUGUGAAUAUUGAGAAUGACGAUUUCAUUGCCUAAAUAGAGAAUUUCUCAAUGCUCUAAAGUGAAGGUUUUUUGGCUUGCAUUAGGAGAGUUCUUUACUAAUGUACUUCUAUUCUUCGGCGAGGAAUCAUAGGGACCCCGCAAUCACAUUUGAUGUUUGUCCAGAAUUUGGUAAUGUUUUGGACGCACAUCCUAAUUAAGUUAGACAAAUUCACGUUCAAGUCGUGCUUGAUCUUCUUUUCUUGUAUUCAAGGGCAAACAAUGGUUGAAUGAAUUGAUCUCAAUGGCAUCUAUGUCUCAUAAGAAAAAGAAACAUAUAAAGAAUAAAGUACAUAAACCAAAUCAUACAUAUAUUAAGAAUUCUUGAUGAGGCUAGAGAUAACAUGUAUUUAAGAGUGACAAAAAUAGCCAAGGAUCACUUAAUAUUAUAGAUGAUGAUUGGUACAUUUGGUAAUAUCUAGAAUUAAUCGAAUGGAAGUUUACGUCAAGACGAUUGGAAAUCUCUGCAGAAAAUGGAGCCUAGCCAUGUUCAUUAUGUCACUUCAUUUUCUUUAUUAAAUCUAAAGUUGGAGAAGAAAACACAGGACGGGCAUUGCUCGAAGACUAAAGGUCAACUUAAACUACUAACCUUGGAUGCCAUAGCAAAAGACUGGCAUGCAUCUAGUUAGUUUAAUUCCGAGUCAUCAGUUGUAUUGUUGGCUGAGAUCACGGAGAUAAAUUGCUCAAAUCUCAGUUCCAUUUGCCACCAAUAUGUCAUGGUCACUAGUCGGUUGUCUGCAAUUAUACCUGUUGAGUUGAUUUGCAGUCCUUGUGUUUAUGAAUCACAUUUUUUUGCGGUUAUGCAGACCAUUUUGCGUGAGUGGAGUUGGACGCUUUGCAUUCAUCUAUACAUUCUAUAUCUGUCUAGCUAUGAAGGUAUACUCGAUCGAUAAUGAAAGAGCAGACAUCGAGCAAGAAUUCUCUCAUUCAAGACAACCAUAUCUCUCGACUGAGAUCCUCCCUCGAGAAACUUUCCCUUGUCAACAGCGACAACUCGAAGACGGUCAAACUCACCGAAGAAGCAAUAAGCAGCAAGGAGAAGCAAUAGCGUGUGUUCUUUGCUAGAAUCGCUUGGAAGCAUCUCGGCGACCCACAUGACAAUUCGAAAUCUAAAAGGGAGUGAUGCCCCUCAUCUUGCUCUGUAGGUGUCUACAUGGCCUAAGCCCUAGGCCGCUAGUACAAGCGCAGUUAACUGUAGAUGAAUCUUUCAUGGGUUAUGAAAUUCAUAUUUUUAGUGAGGUCUAAGCGUGACCCGUCUAUCUUUUGAGCAAUUUGAUUUUUCCUAAUAGAACUAAUCAAGACAACACUACGCGAUGGAAAGCACUGGCCAUAAUCUUUGUCCUUUACCCCGUUCCUUCCUGCAUUCUUCUCUGGACGUGCAUAUUCCAUUCAGAUUGAUUGUCUUUGGGAUUUUGGAAAUAAAGAAAUCUCUCUGGGGCUUAAAUGCUUGAUCGAUGCAGUCGACCGAGUGUGGUUGAAUAAAGUCAUAUUUGCUUCUCACAUGUGGCAACAUAAAAGCGGAAGUAGGAUUUUUAGGGGCAAAAUGCAGGCACUAACGAGGGUAGAUAGAUAAGAUAUUCAUUACUCCACCAAAAAAAGAAAGAAGGGUUGAUAUUCAUGUUUGCUAGUGCUUCAAGAAUCAUCACCACAAACUCCUCUCUCCCUCUCCCUCCCCCCUCCCCCCAAAUGCACGUGCAUUGUAAAUAGUGGCUAUUGCUCUCAGCGGCGAGCCAGAUCGAAUGAACGAAAUAAUCUCAAGAGUUGCUUGCUAUGUUACAUUAUAAGUGACUUGAUUUUUAUCGGAUCCAAUAAAUUGUAUCCCCACUUGCAUCUUCUAUUCUAAACCACUAGCUUCGCCCAUUCGCACCCAGGACAGUUUUGCUCCCCCCUAUGUACAUUGCCCGAACGCGUCGCAUCGACGAACAUAGAUGGGGUACGGCUUCUGCAAUCACGUCGUCGGGAAGAAAAUAACUUAUUCUUCCCUUCCGCUGGCACCCAACUGUCACGCGAAAUGAAGGGUGAGUUUGCCAUCGUUAACCUUCAUUUUCGCUUGAGGGGAAAAGAAAUGUAAGCAAAGAGGGGUGCCGUAUUUAGUACCUGAAGCGAGUAACUAGUUGGUGAAGGAAUACGGAUGUCUCUACUCUAGCUAGCUCCCAUGCGGGACAGAGUCAAGGCCGUCCUUCGAAUGGCGUAAAGUUGUUUCCAGGGGUUGGCGAGCGAGAAUUGCUCUGCAUAUAAUUCAUAGUUAUCGAUCAGUCAAUUGAAGAUAGAUCAUUUUUUUCAAGGUCGAACCAAGAUCCGCAGGAGCAGAGAGAAGGACAGGGCAAUACCUGCCAUCUCUACGGGUUAAAAGCUCGAGCUUCCUCGAAGCGAUCUUGAUCUAGAUGCACGGUGUGAAACGAAGUGAAUGCUUCCCACCCUUUAGGUAUCCUCCCUGCAUGAACAGAGAUAACCCAGCGAAUUAGAUCAAUCGGCCCAUACCAACAUGGAACCAAAUCGAGAAAAUUCUCCUUUACCUUUCACGUUGACAUCCGUCAUCGCCUCCCUGAAUCCCUUUCUAAUGAUGUUCGCAACCCGCAUCGUCUCAUUGAUAACCUGAAAACACUUGCAUAGCACAGCGUUAAAGCUAGGAAGCGUCACGCUUUUGCCAAACCCAUGGCCACGAGAAUGCCGUUGGACUUGCGCAUUGCGUGAAAGGCAUAGGCCUGAUAGUCAUUCCAGUCCGGACUCUCGCAACGAUAUUUCUUCGCUCUGAUCUUGUCAUGCUCUUCCUGUCAUCCAAAGACAAAGAUGUCGUCAUCCAUGGGAUCGAAAAUUAAAGAUAUAACUCUUAUCCGAUAUCUUCUGAUCAAGAAAAAGAAAAGAAGAGAAAAACAUUUAAAGAAGAAGAAAUUCAACGGGGGUGGAAUCUUGAUGCAUGUGGGAACAGCGUCACGUGAAAACACGACGACCAAAGCGAUUCUUUUUGGAAAUUUUCAGGAACAGCACCUAACUCAUCCUAGACCACACGACUAAUGAGAAGCGGUUCCUCUAUCGGAUAGCUGUUCGGCUUGGAGAACCCGAGCCAACUUCUGUUCGCGCUGCUUCUCCCUCCAAGGUCCUUCAAUCAUCAUUUUGUAUGUUGAAGUCCUCUGUGGCAUUGGUUUGCCUUCUCUCGCUGAGUGGAGAAACUGUGAUGCUUUUGGUGCAUUUGUAGCGUAUUCCAAAUCAAGCAAAUGCGGCAUGUGGGAUAGUUGAAUGGCUUUUGUCAUGCUAAUUCUGAAGCUGUGGAACUGGAAACAAGUUCUCGGCAUGUCGAAUGCUGAGGUUCCAGUAUUCUUAGCUCAGCAGCACAAAUUAGUGGAAAUUUGGUCCUUUUGGAGUUUGCGAACUUGCUUGAAUGGUGGAAAUUGGAAGAUCGAGAAUGUUAUCCUGUGAAAUGGUUACAUUUUUGGUCCAUCUUUCUUAUAUCAGUUGACAAUGUAUAUCAAAUGUGAGCAGAUUCGGAGAUCAACUUUGCGGUGGACAAAAUCUCAAUCAACAGGGACGGAUCAGCAUUGAAGGUUCAGACGCCCCAUGUGUUGUGUACCUUUGUGGGCUUAGUUCAGCUGCUGACGACAUUUUUUGCAAGUAUGCAGAGUUUGGUGUUCUGUUUUUAUGUUACUGGAUUCCAUGUUAGCAGUAUUAAGAGCAUGUUAUUCCAUUUUUGGGACUGUAUCGUUUUGAUUUUUUCAUUCUUCAGGGACAAGCCUAGACCUCAUGGCCUUUUAUAUCUGUUAAAAUCUUUGUCCUCGGUCCAUUUUUUAUUUUAUUUCAUUAAUUAUUGUCUUAUUUCAUUUUAAAUAUAAAUAGUAACUUGAUCAUAAUUAAUAAAAUGAAUUAUUGUCUUAUUAAUUUUUUUUUUUUUUUUUGGGGCUGAUAAAUUUGCUUCGUGAGUCUUUGCGUCGAAAAAAACUAGGCAGUGCCUCUUUUGCUGAAGGAUUUCUAAUAUUGACGGUGUUGUUUCCUAUUGACAGAAUUGUUUUAGUUGGUUCUGAAAUUUACUUAAAUGAAAGCAAUGCCUUGAGAGUUCUGAGAGCUUCAUGGCACCCGUAAUCGGGUCGGAUUUUAAUUGCAUUGUCCCCUUCUUGAAAACUUCCCUAAUAAAAUUUGGUAGCGUCUAAGAAAACUAACACUUCUAUUGAGCUCGAAGGGGGGAUUUGCUUGUUGAGCUGCAGGGAAAUGGCAUUCCCUAUCGGCAACACAAAACAAUCCUGUGUUCAAAACGGCGCCUCCCAUCUCCAGCAGAUUCACUUAUGAAUGCAACUACCAAUACGGCAGUUGCGUCCCGCUUGCAUUAGGUCACCACCUACUUCGGUGGCAUGUAUGAUUUCCAAUGACUUGAAAAAUAGAUGUUUGGCUCUUGUUGCUAUCAAUAGAUUAAACUAGUUCUUAUGCAUAAAAUUCAAAAUAAACCUUACCAUCAUCAUCCCCUCUUAUUUUAUUUUCUUUUUGGGUUGCUGGUGCAAAGCUAAUUCAUUGUAGGUUUGGGAGCAACAUUAUUUUCUCAAAUGGACAUCAAGAUCCUUAUAGUAACAGAGGGUAUAAAAAGUCAAAUACUCCUCACCGUACAAUUCAUCCGAAGAGUAAAAUUCCACAUUACAUAAUCAUGUUUAACAAUUUGAUCUCUUUUUCAAUCUUAGGAUCCUAAAGAAUAAUUUAGACAGUACCGUUGCCAUCUAUACAAGGAAAAAUACAUAAUGGGCCACUUUAUUUGUUGCUUUGCGACUCGUCUCACAUGCUUGCGAGUCACUAAAAUGAAAUCAAGAGAGGGGAACCUACUCAAAUUAGGAAUCUGACUCCAAAGUAGAAAGUAAUUUUGUAAUUUCUUGCUUGUUUGGGCAUCAAACCAGAAGCCCUAUUUAGAUUUGAAUUUUCCACUUUGAUCGGGUCUCCUCAUUUCCAAACUCAAAAUAUAUUCUCAUCAGUAAUUAUAUGUUUUGCACACUCUGGUUGCUUAGAUUUAUAAUCAAAGACACAAACAGAUCUAGACUAGUUGGACAUACAACGAAAUACCGAAGUAGGGAUAAUUGAAUAUAUGCCAAUCUUCUUGCUUUGGAACAAUGAUAUGUUGAAUUGCUAUUACAAACAAUAUCCAUGAUGAAUUGAUUCAAGAAGGCCAUUUCAAUAAUAGGUAACAACAAAAGAAAGUCCUCUAUAACCACCCGCCGCGGUGGCUCAGCUAGGUAGGCGCUAGAUUUCCAUCGAGGAGGUAUAGUGUUUGAAGCUCCUGCAACUUGUUUUGAGUUUCUUGACGACUUACCUGGUAGCACAGUAUGUGGUGGCUAGCACGUGUUGCCCCCAGUGGUUUACCUCUGAUUGCCGGCCGUGUGGGGUUCCCUAGGUCACCAAAAAAAGAAAAAAAGAAAGUCCUUUAUAUCUUUUAACAAAGUUAUCAUUGUUUUUAUUUGUUCCAAAUUUAACUCUUGUUGACUAGACUCAGACAAAGAAAGAUAUCCACCGUCCAGCCAAGAAGUUAAUUCUUUGGUGUGGCAACAGUUUUCUCCGAGCAGAAGAAUAGUCCAAGUGCCGAAACUUGACAUGAGGGGACACUUAAGUGCCAAAACUUUGAAAAUGUACACUUAAGUGACAUUUUCUUUGAAAAGUGAGACACUUAAGUGCUACCUCUGACGAACCUUGCCAAAAAUCUUACGUGACAAUAUUUUAUUAUUUUUGCUUGCCUACGUGGCUCGUCGGAGAGCUGACUCAGCUCAAACUCACUUGAAAUAACGUCGUCUGCAAAAUAAAAAUUAAAUUACUAGCUAAAAUAUUCUAAAAAGUAAAAAUGUGUAAAUAAUUAAUAUAAAAUUAAUUAAAUUAAAUUUAAACUUACAUUAAUUUAAAAUAUUCUAAAAAAUUAAAAAAGGGAAGGGGGGGUGAAGGAGGUGGUUGAGGCUCGCGAACCCUCGCCCAGAUCCAGCGAGGGCUCAUGGGCCCUCGCUGCCGGUUCACCAGGGGUCGGCGAGGGCUCGCAUCGGCCGAUGUCGCCGGCUUCUAGCCAAGGCCCGGCGACCCCUGCCGAUGCUCCCCCCACCGUCGCCGGCCCUUGCCACCAGUUGGCUAGGGGCCGGCCACCCCGGCCAACCCUCCCCCUUCCGUCGCUGGCCCUUCCUGACGGUGGCAGGGAGGCGGCGGCGGCAAGAGCUCAGCCCUCAGCCGCCUCCUUCGGCGGCCCCCCCUUUUAAGUUUUUUAUUUUUUAGAAUAUUUUAAAUAAAUUUAAGUUUAAAUUAAAUUAAAUUAAUUUUUAUAUUAAUUAUUUACACAUUAGACACAAAAACGAUAUUGUUUUUGCAUUUUCUCGCCACGUCAGCGUGCAAACGACGCCGUUUUGCACUCAUCUUGUCGGAAAAUUGCCACGUCAGCAAUUUGGUCGGAUUUUGAUCGGAGUGGCACUUAAGUGAUCAAUUUUAUUCCAAUUUUGGUACUUAAGUGUACAUUUUCUUCAUGCUAAGUUUUGGUACUCCAAGUGUCCUUACCUCGUUUUCUCCAACAUGAAAGAAAUUGUCACGUGAAUUAGUGUGGCCUUCAAGAAAAGAAAAUAUAAUCCAAAUAAGGUAGUGAUCUAUUGGGAUUCCUUUUCUUUUCCACUAUACUUGGUUUAACAAACCUAUUUACAUCCUCCAAUGGAAUCGGGUCUUGUUCACAUGGUCAAAUCCGAGAUAUAAUUUAAUUAUUUUAAUGUAAUUUGGCAUAGAAAAUAGUAGUACAAAUUGGGAUCGAGGGUUUAUCUAUAUAAAUGCAAACCGAUGCUCCAAUUCUUGAAAAAUAUAUCUUUGGCUCUUAUUGCCAUAAGUAGAUUAAACUAGUUUUUAUGCAUAAAAUUCAAAGUAAACCUUGACAUCAUGGUCCUUUACCUUUUUUAUUUUUAUUUUUAUUUUUUAUGGGUUUCUGGUUGUAGGAUAUAGAUCUAAUUCAUCGUAGGUUUAAUAGCAACAUUAUUUUUUCAAACGGACAUUGGAAUACUUAUGGUAGCGGAGGGUACGAAAAAUUGAAUGCUCAUCAUUGGACAUCCAUCUGAAGAGUAAAAUUUUACAUUAUCUAACCAUGCUUUACAAUUUGAUCUUUUUUUCAAUCUUAGGAUCCUUAAGAACAAUCUAGACGGUAUAACCAUUGUCUAUACAAAGAAAGGUACAUAACCAAGUCACUUUAUUUGUUGCUUUGUCUCCUGUGCUUGUGAAUCAUUCAAAUGAAAUCAAGAGAAGUAAAUCUACCCAAAUUAGGAAUCUAACUUCAAAGUAGAAAGUAUACGUGUAAUAUCUUGAUUGUUUGGGCAUCAAAUUACAACCCCUAUUUAGAUUUGGAUUUUCUACUUGGAUUGAGUUAACUUCAUGGUUCAAACUCAAAAUAUAUUCGCGUCACUAAUUAUAUGUUUUAAGUUUCCGUUGUUUGGAUUUAUAACCAAAGAUACAAACAGAUCUUGACUAGUUGGUCAUGCAGUGAAUUACCGAAGUGUGGAUAACUAAAUAUAUGCCAAUCUCCUUGCUUUGAAACAAUGACAUGUUGAAUUGCUAUUACAAAAAAUAUCAAUGAUGAAUUGAUUUUAGAAGGCCAUUUCAAUGAUAGAUAAGAACAAAAAACUUAGUCCUCUGCAUAACCUUGUUUUUCUCUGUUCCAAAUUUAACUCCUUUUGACUGGACUCACGGAUAAAGAAAGAUGUCCACGUCUAGCCAAAAAGUUAAUUCUUUGGGGCAGCUAUCUCGGACAGUUUUCUCCAACUGGAAAGAAAUCAUUACAUGAAUUAGUGUGGCCUUCAAGAAUUGAAAAUUUAAUCCAAAUAAGGUAGUGAUCUAUUCAGAUCCUUUUUUGUCUAAUAUACUUGGUUUAACAAACCUAUCAAUGGCCUCCAAUCGAAUCAGCUCUUGUACACAUCCUCAAAUCUGAAAUAUAAUUUAAUACAUUUAAUGUAAUUUGGCAUAGAAAAUAGUAGUACAAUAUGGGAUUGUGGGCUUCUCUAUAUAAAUGUGAACUUGUUGAAGCCCAAAAACAUCUUGAGGAUCCUCCUCUUCGCCUACCUGCUUUAGCCUAGGCAAUAACCACACACCCCAACAUGUCUUCAUCACAUUGUAGCAUUUUGAUCAUUGUGAUGCUUUUCUCGGUUUGUGUUGCUACCGGGAAGAACUUCGAUGCUUACUAUAUCCCAAAGCUGAGCGUAUUCCACCGAACGUUUAUUCAAGAUCCUACAUGGGCGGUUCGAGCUUCCGUCUCGUCAAAAGACUUCCAGACUUUCUUUUACAACCAAACCCUGGAUCAUUUUAAUUACAGGCCAGAAAGUUACACUACUUUCAAACAAAGAUAUGUAAUCAAUUCCAAAUACUGGGGCGGUGCGAAUGCAGUUGCCCGAUCUUCGUUUUUCUCGGUUCUGAAUCACCCUUCGACGUCGACAUCAAAUAUCUUGGGUUCGUGGCGGAAAACGCGGCUGAGUUUAAAGCGCUUUUGGUCUGUAUAGAGGUAAUAAAAGGCCCUAUAUAAUUUGCCUAAUAGUACCUUCUUUUUCCCUUAUGUUUGCCGUGCAUAGGUACAUAUUCACGCAAUUUACGAACGUAAAGUUAAAAUCUUGCAGCAUCGGUAUUAUGGUGAAUCAAUUCCGUAUGGGUGGACACUCGAUAAAGCACUAAAAGAUGCCAAGACUCGCGGAUAUUUCAGCUCAGCACAAGCUCUUGCCGAUUAUGCAGAAAUCCUUGUAUACUUGAAACAGAAAUUGAAUGCCAGACAUUCUCCGAUAAUUGUCUUUGGAGGAUCAUAAGGGGGAAGUAAGCGAAUAUGUUUUCACUUAUCAGCAAUAUGACUACUGCUUAGCAUUGAAAUUAAAGAAAAAGCCCACUGCGCACAUUGACGAUAUCAAUUCCAAUGUACGAUUCCCAUUAAUUAUAGUAGAAUGUAAAUAAACACACAUAGUCUGCUGAAAGUCCUUGUUCUUGAACAUAUCAUGGAUAGAACUUUUCCUAAAGAGCGCUAGUCAUAAUGACAACGACAAUCCAUAUCAAGUUUGAUAGUUUGCCCUGAAUGGCAUUGAAGAAAGUGCCUACCAUUAGGUUUACAAGGAAUAGAUCAACACCAUACAUUCUACACAUUACUUACAAGUAGGUCUUUCAAUCUUCAUAUGUUUGAUUUUCAGUGCUAGCUGCAUGGUUUCGAUUAAAGUACCCUCAUGUGGCGCUCGGAGCAUUGGCAUCAUCCGCUCCAAUUCUAUCCUUUCCCGACAUCAUUCCUCGGGAAACAUUCUAUGCGGGAGUUGCAAAAGAUUUUUUGGUAAUCUUAACUGCUGGAUUUAUACCUUUUUCCUUUAGCAUGCGUUUUCGUUAAUCAAAUUGAUAACUUAACUUGAAUAAUUAUUUGGUUAAUAUUUCAGGAAUUUAGUUUUUCUUGCCACGAGACCAUUAGAAGAUCCUGGGAGGAAAUUGAUAGAGUUGCUUCUGAGCUUCAUGGUCUCGCAAAAUUGAACAAAACUUUCAAAACUUGCAGGUGCGUGGAUGAUGGAAUUGGGAUUAUACAUCAUAUUGUAUUUUGGAGACUUCUCAGAAUGUUCUGUAGGACAAGUAAUUUUUAGAAGAUAAGAAGUUGUUAGACAUAUCUAAUUGGAAAUUUAUAGCAUAUAUUGACAGUGAAAGGAACCUUUGCACAAACGGUCUAUCCAUUCUUGAUUUGUGAAUUUCAGGUAUCAACUCCCUCACUUGCCAUCAAGUAUAGGGCGGAUAAGACCGUGUGUGAAAAGCGUUUUUUACCCUAACAAUUUAUUCCAUAAUAGCAUGAACUUUCGCUAAACAAGGGGAAUGAUUCUAACAUGACAUAAUGGUUUUAAGCUCUGAUAAUAUUUAAAAAAAAAAUAUUAAUGGAUAUGCUUUAGAGACGAGUAUACAUCUAAUUAUGCAUAUCUUUUAUCUUUUGUUAGACCAUUGGAAAGUUCUUCAGAGCUCAAGGAUUACUUAAAAUCAGUCUACGCAGACGCUGCCCAGUACAAUGAUCCAUUCAGUCGUCCAGUAGAUGUGAUAUGCAAUGCCAUUAACGGAACUUCUCCAAGAAAUGACAUUCUCAGGAAGAUUUUCGCAGGCCUCUCGACUUACCGAAAUUCGACUUGCUACAUCAAUCCACCUCCUACACCUCUAUCUAACACUGAGUUGGGUUGGCAUUGGUGAUAAUGCUAGUACGAGUACCUAGAGGGGGGUGAAUAGGUUUAUAAAGUUUUCUUGGAGAUUGCACAAUACUUAAACAAAUAAAAAAAUCAAUCGUAAGACUGAGUAAAGGAAAGAGAGAAUUAAACACGAGGUUUAUAGUGGUUCGGCUUGAUUCAAGCCUACGUCCACUCUUCUGCACUGACAGCCGAUUGGCUGGAUUCCACUAUGAACAAAGAGAUGUUACAGUGUUGAUCUUCCUUGAUUUCUCGAUGUAGAUGAUCUACUACACUCGCUCAAGGUAUCACCAAGUAUAAACACUCUCUAUGUGUACAAUUUCGCUCGAACUGUAUCGACUAACAAUCAAGGUUUUUCAGACUCUGGAAUUUUUCUAUCAAUCACACACUUAAAACAACUAGAACGUCUUCCUUUUAUACUCCUUUAUGCCAUCAUAGCCGUUGGCACUUACCAAAGGAAUUCCUCCAAUCUACCCGUUGGACGGAAUCAAUUAAGAAGAUCAUCCGAGCUAUUUAAGGAAUCUGAUGAUAGCCCAUCAAUCCUGUUCGCCCAUACAAUAAGGAUUUUGGUUUCCAAGAAUAGAAAUUCCAAGAAUGUUUCGUCGACCAUCGGAUCUUCUAUUGUUCUUAGAUAAGAAUCAAAAAAUCCGAAGUGAUUAUCCAACCAAGGGAUCUUUUCCAGAGGAUUGGAUCGAAUCCCCAACCAUAUACUUCGGCUUCGGAUAUCCUUCGCUACUGGAUUAGAAAGACUGUCAGUGAGAAUAAUUUUGAGUCUUGAGUCUUGAGUCUUGAGAUUACAAAGUCUUGAGACUAUAAAGUCUUGAGACUUUAACUAUCGAUAUCCAGACUUAGACUGAUAGAAAUGUUUUGUCAGCUUCAAAAUAUUCUAGAAAGAUUUCUCCAACAAUCUCCCCCUUUUUGAUGGUGACAAAACUUUCUUGUAGAUUUGAACAACUUUGACCUGCAAAAACAUUUUUCAAGCAAUAUGGCUAACUCAUAAAGAUUAAUAAACAACCAGACUCUGCAUCCAUAGCAAAUUGGUUAGUCUUUCAUGAGUAAUACCAUAUAACAAUACUUGAUAUAAAUGCAACCAGUCAAGCAUCAAAAUCCACAGCCAAUUCAGUCUAACACUCAAGUUCAAGUUCUCAAGUCAUACUAAAAAAUAAACAUAAACACAAAAGUCAAAUAAAGUUUUAAAAUAAUGUUUGUUCAAAUUGGUUCUCCCCCUUUUUGUCAUCAUUAAAAAGAGGGUGAGAAAGGAGUCAUGUCUGCUUGGGAAUGCGCACGAUCUGGAAUUCUCCCAUUGACUGGACUACGCCUUCCAGCCUCUUCAAGUCCUCCCUUAGAUGAGCUACCUCCUCUCCUUUGGCAUUGGCUUGAAUUUGCAGAGCGAGGUCUUUCAUCUUGUCCUCCAGGCUGACUGAAGAUGCUUGUCCAGCAUUCUUCAUUGCUUGAAUUUCACAUUCCAGAGCAUAUAUUUGGCCACGCAUUUCCAGAAGAAUAUCCAUGAUUCGAUGAAAAUCUGCAGAAUUGUCUGUCUGUGCACUGGCAUGAGCUUUUUCAGAUGAUGGCAUUUCUGUAUAGUCUUGCAGAUUUGGUGUCGACGUAUCACCUUCUUCAGGCAAUUGAGAAGCCUGAAAUUCUUCUGGGUCUGCUGGAGAUUGUCUUGGACCUUCACUAUCUGCAGCAUGAGGUGUAGACCUUUCUUGCUCGCCAACUCCCCCUGUCUCUAGGACAUCCAAAGGGGAAGAAUGAUGAUCAUGCUCCAGAUUUCCCUUCUCUCCAGAUUCAGCAGCAGACUUUUCUUUCUCUUCUUCAGCUUCCUUCUCCUUCUCUCUCUGUUCUUCUUCUUCUCUCUGGUUCUUCUGAAAUUCUCUCGGCUGAGACACAGAACGUCUGGUUCUUAUCAGUGCAUGGAUCGUAGGAUCUUCAUCCUCUUCAUCUUCAUCCUCCAGGAUGAGAGUUCUUCUCUUCUUUUUCGAUGAGGCUCCAAUGGCCUCUUUUCCUUUUCUCUUUGAAGCAGACUGAACAGGAGAUUUCACUUUGAAUUUCUCCAUUGCCUUGGAAAGUUCUUGCAGACGCAUCUUCGUUAACAUCUUCAAACCUACCACCAUCUUAUCACACGGUUGAACACAAAGAGAUUGAGGUGGUUCAAUAUUCAUGUGUCUGAAGAUCUUGGUCACCAGACCAGGAUAAGGCAAUUGUCCUUUGUCUUUCGACAUUGCUCUGUACAUAUGGAAGAGAAUAGUGUGCGGGAGAGAGAACUUCCGUCCUGUGUUGAUUGCGUACAUCAACUUGCUCAGAAAGAGACACAGAAGUCUUUGACGUAGACUUUGGUCUAAUACAGUUGAUCACAAUCUUAUGAAGCACAAUGUUGAUGGCAUUCAUCCUGGAAUAGGUAACUUUCUUCUCUGCAUCCCUAUCUUUGACCAGUUCCAGAGUAGUACGAGCAGGUGAGACUUUGAUUGGUAGGUAGCGUCCUCGUUCAACUCCAACUAUAUCAGCCAACAUAUUCACAUCUACCACGUAGACUUUGUCUCGAACACUAAAUGAUAUUCUAUUCGCAUCCAGAAAGCUAAGAUUGGAAUAGAAAUAAGCAGUCAAAUGAGCAUACCCGUCCGUAGAGUCAGAGCAAAAAUUCUCAAGUUGAAACAAAUUCAACUUUUCUCUUAAGUUUAUGUUGAUGGCGUCCAGGAAGUCAAAAUCGACACUUCUAGGGUUUAUCACCCCUCUUUUCAACAGCCUGGAAUACACUUUUUCUUGAUCUUUGGAUUUGAACAAAUCCAUCCGAUUUCCUUUCACCUUUGCUGCCACUCCCAUUUUCGGUUGAAAUUCAAGGAACAUUCUGUCAUCAUCGUUCCCUUCAAUUAAGUUUUGUCCUGGCAUACGAGGAUCACUUGGAAUGUUCGCAAGUGCUUCCUCUGCUUUUCCUUUUGGGGCAAUUCCCCAUUCCUCCAUUUUCUUCAGAAAAAGAUACUCAUUCCCAUAAUUUUUGUCCUUAAGGAAGUCAUCUAUAUAAUUCAAUGGAGUACCUGUGCUUUUCAAUGCACGAUAAAGUUUAUACAAAAAGGAGGGCUUUUGAACUCUUACUGGGUCGGCAUCCUCGAUUAUCUCUUCUUCCAGAUUAUGACUUGCACCUUGUGGGGCAGGAGGUGUUGAAUGACGUGGAUGAGAGCGAAUCGGACUUUGUCGCUGACUUGUUAAGUCUUCUUCCUCAGUGAGAUCGAAAUGAGUCGGUCCCUUCUCCAUUCUUUGUGGUCCCCUGCUUGCGAUUCUUGAUGAUUUCCUCGAAGAAGACAUCUUUCUUUGUCGUUUGGAAGAUUCCUUCACUUGCUUUCCCAAGAAAAAUGACCACUUUCUCGACGACGAAUAAACAGUAAAACAGUAUCGGGAGGAGAGUGCCUUUUAGGGUUUUGAAGAUUGGGGAAAAGAAAAACUGUAUAUAUAUAACUCAGUUUUGAAAAAGGAAGUUCAAUCGGUGCAAGGAAAGUGAACGAUCACUUCUUUUCAAAAUCAAUAACUGUCAAAAUUAUUAAACGAAAGAUCGUACCUUUUCGAGUUAAUAUAACUAAAUGACAAUUAGUACCUUUUAGAUGAAAUACAACUUACAGUCUAUAGCCACGAAUGUCUGAGUCUGAGGAUUUAAAGUCUGAAAGAUUAGAGUCUUAGAGUUGGUGAGUCUUUAGACUUUAACUUCUUCAGGCUUCAAAAUGUUGAGUCUUGAACGGAUAAAGUCGAAUUGAUUUUUCUUCAAAGGCUUUGUGAAUAUAUCCGCUAGUUGACUCUUUGAAUCAACAAAUUGAAUCGAGAUUUCUCCAUUUUGAAUAUGAUCUCUAAUGAAGUGAUGUCGAAUCUCAAUAUGCUUUGCUCUUGAAUGAAGGAUUGGAUUUUUGGUGAGAUUAAUCGCACUGGUGUUGUCACAUCUGAUUUCUGUGCAUGAGUCUUCAAUCCCAAAGUCUUGUAGCUGUUGUUUUAUCCAAAGAAUUUGCGAACAGCAGCUUCCAAGAGCUACAUACUCUGCUUCUGUCGUUGAAAGAGCUACAGUGCUUUGCUUCCUCGAAAACCAAGACACCGUUCUGUUUCCAAGUAGUUGACAAGUUCCAGAGGUGCUUUUUCUAUCGAUUCUGCAACCGGCCAGAUCUGCAUCUGAGUAUCCUAGAAGAUUAAAGUCUCCAUUCUUGGGAUACCAGAGACCGAUGCUUGAAGAUGAGGCAACAUAUUUGAUAACACGUUUUACAGCACUGAGAUGGGAUUCUCUAGGAUCUGAUUGAAACCUAGCACAAAUACAAACACUCAACAAAAUAUCAGGUCUAGAAGCAGUAAGAUAAAGAAGUGAACCGAUCAUGCUCCUGUACAGCUUUUGAUCUACUUUCUUCCCUUCUUCAUCCUUGUCUAUCUUCUGAGAACAUGACAUUGGUAUGUCGGUCUUUUUACACUUUUCCAAUCCAAACCUUUUGACAAGAUCAUUCGCAUAUUUUUCUUGAUGGAUAAAAGUUCCUUCCUUCAUUUGUUUCACUUGAAGUCCAAGAAAGAAUGUUAACUCUCCCAUCAUACUCAUUUCAAACUCAUCCUGCAUAGACUUAGAAAAUUUCUUGCAUAGACUUUCAUUAGGUGAUCCAAAAAUAAUAUCGUCCACAUAUAUUUGAACAAGUAAAAAGCUUUUGCUUUCCUUUUUGAUAAACAAAGUAGUAUCUACUUUACCUUUGACAAAACCAUUCUGUAAUAAGAACUUACUUAGUCUGUCGUACCAAGCUCGAGGUGCUUGCUUUAAACCAUACAAGGCCUUUUUCAGUCUGAAGACUGAGUCUGGCUUCUUUGGGUCUUCAAACCCAGGUGGUUGUUCCACAUAAACUUCCUCAUGGAUGAAUCCAUUUAGGAAUGCACUUUUGACAUCCAUUUGGAAUAACCUGAAAUUUUUAUAACAAGCAAACGCAAGUAAUAGACGAAUAGCUUCUAACCUUGCUACUGGAGCGUAAGUCUCAUCAUAGUCUAUUCCUUCUUGUUGCGUAUAUCCUUUGGCCACGAGUCUUGCUUUGUUUCGUACGACUUUUCCUUCUUCAUUCAUCUUGUUCCUGAAUACCCAUUUGGUUCCAAUAACGGUUUUACCUUUUGGUUUAGAUGUCAAUUCCCAGACAUCAUUGAUGUUGAAUUGUCUAAGUUCUUCUUGCAUAGCUUCGAUCCAGCUUUCAUCAGAUAAAGCUUCUUCUAUGCUUUUUGGUUCAAUUUCAGAAAUGAGAGCCACAGCACUAGAUUCUUCAUGCCUUUUUGAUCUGGUGCGGAUUCCUUCAUUGAUUUCGCCAAUAAUGAGAUCUUUAGGAUGACUGGAUUUAUGCUUCCAGUUACUGGUUGUUCUGCCUGGUUGAUGAUCUCUUUCUUUGUUUGAAUCUUCAUGUGCUUCUUGAUGUUGGACUUCCAGAGACUGAGAUGCUUCUUGAGUUGUAAGCAUUGGAAGGUCUGGAGUAGGUUCAGACUCUUCAUACUGAGUCUGGCUGGAUUCAUCUUGCAUAGAGUCUUGGAAUUUAACAUUCGUUGAUUCCUCCACUGACUGGCUUUUCUUGUUAUAGACUCUGUAGGCUUUGCUUGAUGUAGAAUAUCCAAGGAAGAUGCCUUCAUCUGAUCUUUCUUCAAACUUACCAACUCGAUCAUUUGCAUUUUUCAACAUAAAGCAUUUGCAACCAAACACAUGAAAGUAUGAAACAAUAGGCUUUUUACCUUUGAACAAUUCAUAGGGGGUUUUCUCUAAAAUAGGUCUUAAAAAGACUCUAUUUAUAAUAUAGCAUGCUGUUGAAACAGCUUCAGCCCAAAAUCGUGAAGAGAUUUUGCUUUCAAUUAAAAGUGUUCUAGCCAUUUCUUGAAGAGAUCUAUUCUUUCUUUCCACAACUCCAUUUUGCUCUGGAGUAUAUGGAGAGGAAAACAUAUGAUUAAAACCAGAUUUAUCACAAAAUUUCGUAAAAUCUUGAUUUUCAAAUUCACUUCCAUGAUCUGUUCUUAUGCUUGAAAUUGCACAUCCUUUUUCAUUUUGAACCUUUUUGGCAAAUUUUUCAAAAUACGAAAAGGUUUCUGACUUACUUGUAAGAAAGUAUACCCAAGUAAAGCGGGAGUAAUCAUCCACAAUUACUAGGCAAUAUUUCUUACCUCCAAUGCUCUGGGUUCUGGUUGGUCCGAAGAGAUCCAUAUGAAGCAACUGUAGUACAUGAUUAGUAGAGACAUGGUUUAUUUGCUUAAAUGAAUUUCUUACUUGCUUUCCCAGAAUGCAUGGAGUGCAUGAAUCAGACUUUUGGUAUGGCAAUUUAGGUAGACCUCGAACAAGCUUCUUUGAUGAGAUUUUGGCUAAUUGCUUCAUGUUGACAUGGCCAAGCUUUAUGUGCCAUAAGACUGCUUCAUCUUGAAUUGAGAUUAGGCAUUGUGCUUCAUUUGGUUUUACAUCAAGAAGGUAGAUAUUUCCAUGCCUUCGACCCAUGAAAGACUGAGUUGAGUCUUUGCUAAUUCCAGAACAUAUGCCUUCUUGAAAGGAGAUCUUGAAACCAGUAUCACACAAUUGGCUAAUACUUAGAAGAUUGUAGUUGAGUCCUUCCACUAGAGAGACAUUGCUUAUUGUGAGAUUUCCAAUUUUCACAGUUCCAAAUCCCACAAUGCUUCCUUUGCUGUUUCCUCCAAAUGAAACUUUUCCACCAUUCACUUGAACAAGCUUUAUGAAGCAUUUUGAGUCUCCUGUCAUGUGUCUUGAACAUCCGCUGUCAAGAUACCACUUAAUUUUCUUUUUGACAGAGACCUGCAUUCAAAAGAGAGUCUCAAGCUUUCUUUGGUACCCAAAUUUUCUUGGGUCCUUUGGCGUUAGUAGAAUAAGCAUUACUAGGCCAUACUUUCUUAACAGGCUUCCAAACCAUAGGACACUAUUUUUCAAAAUGAUCCUGACUGUUACACUUUGAACACCUUAGAGCACUUCGACCUAUAGACUUUACAAAGACUUUCUCGAAAUGAUUUUUGUAAGCCUCUUUUGUCGGUCUUUUCUUAAUUCUUUCUUUUACUUUUGGAAAAUCAAUCAAGGAAAUUGUUUCUGCUGUCAUACCCAAACCAGACUUGUUAAAGUAAGGUCUUUGGACUGAAAGAACUUUUUCAAGUUUUUCAGACCCUAUUGAAAAUUUCUUUGAAAUAUUUGAUAAGUCAGUUUUUAAGAAAGCAUUCUCUUUUGAAAGUUUAUCUUCAUUCUCCUUAAGAGUAGAAACAUUCAAGUCUAAACUUUUCACUUUUUCUUCUAAAAUAUUUUCCUUUUGUUUUAAAACUGAGUUUUCCUUUUUAAGUUCGGAAAUCCUUUUCAGAGAAGUCUUAAGACUAAAACAUAGUUCAUCAAUGUAUUUAGAGACUUUGACAGGAAUUUUAUAAUCACUUACCUCAAAUUCACUGUCAGAGUCUGAUCCAGAAUCUGAGUCUGAUUGUGCCAUUAGACAAAGGUUGGCAUAUUCAUCAUCACUUUCUUCACACUCUGUAUCGCUCCAAGUUUCGGCUUUGAGAGCUUUACGAGACUUUUCAGCUUUUCCUCUUUUCUUCUUCAGGAGAGGACAAUUUGGUCUGAUGUGUCCCUUUUUCUUACAUUCGAAACAAACUACAUCUUUGUUUGGUUCCUCAUUAUCAACAAACUUGGUUUGCUGUUUCUGAAAACUUUGUUUCCUUGAGUUGAACCUUCUCCCUUUUCUAUUCAGCUUUCUGAACCUUCUAAUCAUAAGAGCAAGCUCCUCAUCGUCCAGAUCUUCUUCAGAGUCUGUAUCAUCAGAAUCAUCGUUAGAUUUUAAUGCAAUGGAUUUCUUACCUCUUGGAUCUUCGUCUUCAUUAAUUCGUUCCACUUCAUAAGACUGAAGAGUUCCAAUCAGCUCGUCUACAGAUAAUGGCAUAAUUCUUUGCGUCUCUCUUAUUGAAGUCUUUAUAUGAUUCCAAUCCUUGGAGAGUCCACGCAGUAGCUUGUUCACCUUCAUAGGAUCAGAAAUUUUCUGUCCUUGAUUCUCAAGAUCAUUGACAAUAUCUGUAAAACGGCUAAACAUGUCAGUUAUAGAUUCUCAUUGUUUCAUUUUGAAGGCUUCAUAUUGACCAAGGAGAAUGUUAAUUCUGGUCUCCUUCACUCGGUCUGUCCCUUCAUAAGUGAUAUGUAAUCUGUCCCAGACUUCUUUUGCUGUAUCACAAGAAGAUAUUCUGUUAUAUUCAGUAGGUGAUAAAGCACAAUAUAAAGAGUAAAUUGCUUUUGCAUCAAGUGCUUGUCUCUUGUUUAUCUCUUCUUGAGACAUUCCGCUGGUUUCAACAGUUUCUUUCCCUCUUUCGGAUGCUGAUGUAGCAGUAGGAGUAAUUCCUCUUUCCAUCACAUCCCAUUCCAGAGGAUCCUUUGAUCGUAGAAAAGCUUUCAUCUUGUUUUUCCAGAUGUUGUAAUCCUUUCCAUCAAAGUAGGGUGGUCUUGUAUUGCUUUGCCCUUCCACCAGCCCUGGUGCUAGCAUACUAGCCAUGGAUCUUUUACUCUGAAGUAAAACACUUCAAAUAAAGUGAGAACACGGGCUCUGAUACCAAUUGAUAAUGCUAGUACGAGUACCUAGAGGGGGGUGAAUAGGUUUAUAAAGUUUUCUUGGAGAUUGCACAAUACUUAAACAGAUAAAAAAAUCAAUCGUAAGACUGAGUAAAGGAAAGAGAGAAUUAAACACGAGGUUUAUAGUGGUUCGGCUUGAUUCAAGCCUACGUCUACUCUUCUGCACUGACAGCCGAUUGGCUGGAUUCCACUAUGAACAAAGAGAUGUUACAGUGUUGAUCUUCCUUGAUUUCUCGAUGUAGAUGAUCUACUACACUCGCUCAAGGUAUCACCAAGUAUAAACACUCUCUGUGUGUACAAUUUCGCUUGAACUGUAUCGACUAACAAUCAAGGUUUUUCAGACUCUGGAAUUUUUCUAUCAAUCACACACUUAAAACAACUAGAACGUCUUCCUUUUAUACUCCUUUAUGCCAUCAUAGCCGUUGGCACUUACCAAAGGAAUUCCUCCAAUCUACCCGUUGGACGGAAUCAAUUAAGAAGAUCAUCCGAGCUAUUUAAGGAAUCUGAUGAUAGCCCAUCAAUCCUGUUCGCCCAUACAAUAAGGAUUUUGGUUUCCAAGAAUAGAACAUUCCAAGAAUGUUUCGUCGACCAUCGGAUCUUCUAUUGUUCUUAGAUAAGAAUAAAAAAAUCCGAAGUGAUUAUCCAACCAAGGGAUCUUUUCCAGAGGAUUGGAUCGAAUCCCCAACCAUAUACUUCGGCUUCGGAUAUCCUUCGCUACUGGAUUAGAAAGACUGUCAGUGAGAAUAAUUUUGAGUCUUGAGUCUUGAGUCUUGAGAUUACAAAGUCUUGAGACUAUAAAGUCUUGAGACUUUAACUAUCGAUAUCCAGACUUAGACUGAUAGAAAUGUUUUGUCAGCUUCAAAAUAUUCUGGAAAGAUUUCUCCAACAAUUGGCAGGUGCACACUAUAGUCGGACAUCAUGGACGGAUUGUAGCUUACUACUACUAGUUGAAAUUGACUCGAAUUUUGUGUUGUACUAAGCAAACGGAGGUUGUUUGGGUUUGCAGACAUGUAGCGAGAUUCCGACCCUUUGGAGCAUCACCAACAAUACUAUGUUUCAACCAGCUCCCUCUGGCCUAGAUAAAUUUGUGAAUCGCUGCAAGCGAGACUUUGGCAUUGCACCUCGGCAACACUGGGUCCCUACUUAUUACGGUGGUCAAGUAUGGUCACAAAAAUAAAAUCACAUAUCUAUGAUACUCUUUUAAUUUUCUCUUUCACACACACACACACACCAAACAACAUACGACACCCUUUCGUUUCUUCACUGACUAUAGAAAAUUGCAGGACAUCAAACUCAUUUUGCACAGAUUCGCUAGCAAUAUUAUUUUCUCCAAUGGGCUUCAAGAUCCUUUUAGCUAUGCAGGGUAUGUGUAGCAUCAAAACCUAUAGAUUUCCAUGAAAACAUCACUAAAUUGGAUAAGAUUUCAAAGUAAUUCUUCUAUACCAUCAAUUGUAGGAUUUUGAAGAGUAUUUCAAAUUCGGUUGUCGCAGUCUACACAGCUAAAGGUAUGUGCUGACUCAACUCAUGUCGAACUAAAGUCAAAUGAUUCCGAUACUCAAAUUAAUGCUGCGAAAAAUAAUUUCUUACCUACAGGUUCUCAUUGUUUAGACAUACUACCAGCUACAAAAGAAGAUCCCAUAUGGUUGGUCAAGCAGCGGAACACCGAACUUGAGAUUAUAAGAAAAUGGAUAGCCACGUAUCAUGCGGAUCUUCGUGCUUUUGGAAAAUAUUAAUAUAUAUCACUGGGGAAUAUCAUUGCAUUGAAUAAUGCUAAUAGCAUUAAGAAUGAAGACCAAAGUUGUGUGCUUCGUCUGUUUUCUUGGGAGAAGGGUGAAUUGAGAUAUCAAAAUCAUUAAAACAUUAAGAAAAACUAAAAGGAAUGGUACACUCCAAACUAAUGUGAACUUUCCCGAAAGGAAGGAAAAAAUUCAAUUGCAAUGUAAGAGACGGUACGACUGUAAUGAAUCGAGAGAGAGCGAGCUAGCAUGGUGGAGUGCCUUAAUACUUGUACCACCGAUGGAGUACAAGGCGCACGCUGUGAAGAUGAUCACAAAGUAAUGGCUCACCAUGAUUAUCGAAUGACAACACACAGUAGAGAUUCACAAAAUGCUUGCCGUGGUGGGGCUGUGGGUGAUUAAGAGCAAUUAUCGCUACUUAAAUAGAGGAUUUCUCAUUGCUCUAGUAAGAGGUUUAUUUGCUUGCAAUUAAAGAGUUCUUUAUUAACGCAGUUCGACGAGGAAUCACAGAGCCCAAUGCUUUCAUUCAGUAUGCAUUUACGUUUCAUGUCAGUACAGAAUUCAGCAACAUUUUGGACUUACAUCCUAAUUAAGUAAGAUAAAUUCACACUCAAGUCGUGCUCGAUCUUCUUUUCUUGUAUUUAAGGGCAAACAAUGGUCGGCUGAGUUGAUCUCAACAGUUUUUAUGUCUCGUAAGAAAAAGAAACAGAUAGAGAAUUAUGUAUUUUUGCACAUAUACCAACUCCGUGCCCGUAACUAGAGUCUUGAUGAGUCUAGAAAUAAGGUUUAUUUAGAAGUGUGAUAAAAGUAGCCAAGCAUCACUUAAAAAUACAAAUGAUAAAUAGGUGCGUUUCGUAACAUGUGGGAUUUGGACGUUUACGUCAAGACAAUUAGGACUCUCUGCAGAAAAUGGAGCAUAGCCAUGUAAUAAGUAAUUUGUUUAGGGCAUUCUAUUGGAGAGGGCAUUUGUUUUUUUAUGAAGAACACGGCAAAGCCAAUUUAUGCUUGUCAUCGUAUGUAUGCAGAAGCAAGAACAAGAUAAAUAGCAAUAAAACGCGUGACCUGACUUCAUUUUCUUUAUUAAAUCUAAAGUUGGAGAAGAAAAAAAUGGGACGGGCAUUGCUCGAAGAUUGAAUGUCAGUUUAAACUACUAACCUUGGAUGCCAUAGCAAAAGACAGGCGUGCAUCUAGUGAGUUUAAUUCCAAGUCAUCAAUUGUAUUGUUGGCUGAGAUCACAGAUAAAUUGCUCAAAUCUCAGUUCCAUUUGCUACCAAUAUGUCACGGUCACUAGUCGGUUGUCUGCAAUUGUACCUGUUGAGUUGAUUCGAAGCCCUUGUAGUUACGAAUCACAUUUUUUGCGGUCAUGCAGACCAUUUUGCUGGAGUGAGUUGGACGCUUUGCAUUCAUCUUUACAUUCUAUAUCUGCCCGGCUAUGAAGGUACACUCGAUCGAUAAUGAAAGAGCAGACAUCGAGGAAGAAGUCUCGUUCAAGACAACCAGAUCUCUCAACUGAAAUCCUCCCUUGAGAAACUUUCCCUUGUCAACAGCGACGACUUGAAGAAGGUCAAACUUGUCGAAGAAGCAAUAAGAAGCAUGGAGAAGUAAUAGCACGUGUUCUCUCCUAGAAUCACUUGGAAGUGUCUCGACGACCCACAUGACAAUUCGAAAUCUCAAAGGGAGAGAUGCCUCUCAUUUUGCUCUGUAGGUAUCUACAUGGCCUAUGCAGUACCAGCGCGGUUAAAUGUAGAUGAAUCUAUCAUGAGAUAUGAACUUCAUAUUUUUAGCAAGUUCUAAGCGUGACCCAUCUAUCUUUUGAGCGAUAUGAUUUUUUCUAAUAGAACUAAUCUAGAUAAUACUACCCCAUGGAAAGCAAUGACCAUAGUCUUUCUCCUUUACCCUGUUCCUUCCUGCAUUCCCGUCUGAACUCGCACUUUCCAUUCAAAUCGAUUGUCCUUGGGAUUUUGCAAAUAAAAAAAAUCUCUCCGGGGCUUAAAUGCUUGACCAAUGCACUCGACUAAAUGCGGUUGAAUAAGUCAUAUUUGCUUCCCACAUGUGCCUACAUAAAAGUGGAAGUAGGAUUUUCAGGGGCAAAAUCUAGCCACUAACAAGGUAGAUAGAUAAGAUACUCAUUACUCUGCCAAAAAAAGAAAGAAGGGUCGAUAUUCAUGUCUGCAUCCGCGUCGUCGGGAAGAAAACUAACUUAUCUUCUUCCACUGGCACCCAACUAUCACGCGAAAUGAAGAGUGAGUUCGCCAUUGUUAACGUUCACUUUUGCCCGAGGGGAAAAGAAAUAUAAGCAAAGAGGGGUGCCACAUUUAGUACCUGAAGCGAGUAACGACGUCGUGAAGGAAUACGGAUAUCUCUACUCUAGCUAGCUCCUAUGCAGGACAGAGUCGAGGCCCUCCUCCGAAUGCCAUAAAGAUGUUUCCGGGGUUGGCAAGCGAGAAUUGCUCUGCAUAUAAUUCAUAGUUAUCGAUCAUUGAAGAAAGAUCAUUUUUUUCAAGGUCGAACCAAGAUUCGCAGGAACGGAGAGAAGGACAGAGCAAUACCUGCCAUCUCCAUGGGUUAAAAGUUCGAGCUUCCUAGAACUGAUCUUGAUCUAGAUGCACGGUGCGAAACGAAGUGAAUACUUCCCAUCCUUUGGGAAUCGUUUAGCCCGCAUGAACAGAGAUAACCCAGCGAAUUAGAUCGAUCGGCCCAUACCCACAUGGAAUCAAAUCAAGAAAAUUCUCAUUUACCUUUCUCGUUGACAUCCGUCAUCACCCGCCACCUUUCUAAUGAUGUUUGCAACUGUUAGGAAUAACGGAUCACCGAAAACCGGAUUCGACACUAAAUCGAACCCCUAAAGCAAUGCGGAAGACAAAGCCCGGGAAAACACGUAUCACCGAUCGUAAAGCACACCACGGAUUCGAGCGUACCUUGUUAGCCACAGAUUAGACACUAAUGCCGAUGAUCGAGGAAGAAAUUCUGAUCCGAUGAUGUCAAUUUGCCUUGAAAGGGAGACCGGCGUCGCCUUAAGCGUACUGUUCUUGUUGGAGGGAGAGAGGGAGAGGAACGUACGUUCAUUGUGCCAACAAGUGUGUUCUCUCUCUCUCUCCUCCCUUUUAUACCUUCCCCCAUCCACGGGCCCUAUUCCUGUGGGCCGGGCCUUUUGGGCCCAGCAUGGGCGGACGGGCCUUAAGCCCAUUACCAAUUAAAACCAUCAUCUCCCACUCGCACAUGGUGGGCUGAACAGGAUUCUCUUUACCUCUCUUCAACAUUCAUACCGGUGAAUAAUCCGUGUGACUAGCAUACUUUGAGAGCUCGUUGCCAUACAUCUGUUAGGAAUAUAUAGCAGCUCAUAAUGGGCAUCACAUCCUGAGUAGAUUUAGUAUGCAGUACUAUAGAUCGAUCGAUCACGUUUAUAUCUCUCUUGAUCUCUUUUAAAAAAUGAUAUAUAUAUAUAUAUAUAUAUAUAUAUAUAUAUAUAUAUAUUGUAUUCACAAUUAUGAUUAUCCCAAAGACAGUCAUAAUUGGUUAACUGGUGAAUACAAAACUACAAUGUGAUUCUCCAAAAUCGAUCUUCCUCUUUCCUUCAAACUCUCAAUUUCAGUUCAGCUUGCUUUUCUAGAAAUGCCCCAUUAGAUUGAAUCAACUCAUGACUAUUGGCAACAUCCUAAGAUAGCAAACACUAAAUAGAAAUCUUGAGAAUAAGUAAGAGUCAUGAGGGGACUAAAAAAUUGAGGAACUCUUUUCCUCAAGAGUCUCACACGUCAUAAAAGUUGAGAUCAAAAUUUUUGCCACUCUUAUUGGUCGUCUCAUGCAUACGUAGUAUGAAAUACGUAUUACGGUAUUAACUCCUUUCCCAUGGAGCGUAUGUCUACACCUUUCAAUAUGUCUAACUUGAGUUCACGUAUCUACUCAUUCACAAAAUUCAUGAGAACUCACAUCUGGCAUCAUAGACAGAUAAAGUAAAAUAUGUGGGGUAUUUUACUUUCGGACAUAGUAAGUAUUAUGUCCUUAUCUUAACACCCAGUUAAGGCGACAUACGUAUUUUAAGCUUGAGCUCUCGAUUAUCACCUAGAUAAUAAGCUUAAAAACAGUCUCAUCUCUAUUUAUCACACAGUAAAUAUAGAUGAUUACCCGUGUGAGUGGGCUAAUAUUAUAUCUGUCCGACAUACUUUCUCAAUUUAAAGUAAUGCACUGAGCAUUAAGAUACAUAAAGAUCAAACAAAGAUUCAUAGGCAUCAAUGAUGAAAACACAAAUUCAUCAAAUGUGAACACUUAGGGAAAUUACAAUAUUCAGUACAUCAGCCUCUACACAAUCCUAGAGAUUUCAUAUGGCCACAAAACACAUCUCUAGAUAUUAGCUUUGUCAUAGGAUCUGCUACCAUUCUAUGCGUAGUAUAUACUCUAAGUUCACAUCUCUUCGUGCAAUCAUAUCCUUGACAAAAGUAUACUUGGUAUCUAUAUAUUUGGUCUUGCCAUGAUAUUUUGAAUAUUUGGUGUACAUUUUUGCUGCUUGGCUAUCACAGUUAACCAACAAUGAAUCUGCAGCACUUCUAAUAGCACCUAAAUGAUCCAAAAAAUCUCUUAAGCCAAACAUCUUCUUAUAUUGCUGUUGAUAAUGCCACGAACUCAGUUUCAAUCGUGGACAAGGCUAUACACUUUUGUUUCUUACUGCUCCAACAUAUGGUGCCAUUAUUCGGUAAGAAAACAAACCCAGAGGUAGAUUUCCUUUUAUUUAAAUCUCCUCCCCAAUCAGCAUCUGAAUAGCCUUUGAGUUGCAUAUCCUUUCCAUAAUAACUCAAUUAGCAGUCCCCUUUAGAUACCUUAGUAUUCAUUUAACGACCUUCCAAUAUGCUUGACCUGGAUUGGAUUGGUAUCUACUCACCAUUUCAACUGCAUACCAUAUGUCAGGUCUUGUACAUAUCAUAGCGUACAUCAAGCUCCCAACAUCACUAGCAUAAGGAAUAUAUUUCGUUUGUUCAUUCUCUUGUGGAGUCCUUGGACACAGUCUAUAGCUCAAUCCUUCACCUUUUGCAAUAGGAGUGUCUAUGGGUUUAAAAUCCCAUAUCCUUCAAUUCAAAAUUGGAAGACAACCAACUUUUGACAGUAUUGACAAGCUCCAUAUUGCUUCCGGCAAUUAGUAUAUCAUCAACAUAUAUGAUAUGAUCACAAAUAGAUCUUUGGAUCUUUUGAUAUAUAUACAAUGAUCCUCAUCUAUUAUUGUAAAAUCAUAUGCCAUUAUGGCAUUAUGAAAUCGUAUAUACCAUUGUCUUGACGACUGCUUAAGGCCAUAUAUCGACCUCAAAAGUCGACAUACCUUUUUCUUCUUGGCCUUUCACUAUGAAACCAGCAGGUUGUUCCAUAUACGUUCCUUCCUCUAAUUUUCCUGCAACAAAUGCAGAACCAAUAAAUGGAUCACUUAUAAUCCACAAUAAACAAAAUGGAAAAUACAUAAUUUUCCAUGAUUCAUGCAACAAAUGCAGAAUAAAAAAAGGAUUACCUCUAACCCAUACAGACAUAAUUGAAUUUUUUUUUUUUUUUUGGGUCAACGGUCGUCUGUCAACGGUUGCCGGUCGCCGGUCGUCGGACGUCAGACCGGUCGGACCGGACGGGCCGGUCGGUCCAGUUCGGGCAAACCGACGGCACGUGCCGCGCGCGUGCGCGGGCUGACGUCACGCAGACGUCAGCCGGCACGUGCCGCGCGCAUGCCGGGCGUCCGCGGUGUGGGUCAGGUCGGGUUGUUGGCCGGUGACCGCUUGGCCAACCGUCGUUGUGCUGACGUCAUCGAUGACGUCACCCUAGCGGUUACUGAUCGUUGGGUGACGUCAUGCUGACGUCAGCACGCAUCGGUCCGCCGAUCGGCGCGUGCCGGUUCACCGGCCGGUGGCGAGCAUGUGCCGGUUCGCCGACCGGCGCGUGUGUCGCACGCGUCGGGCGAGCCAGCGCUUCCAGGCGCGUCGCGCCCACGCGCAGCAGCUUCUGGCCGCGCAUGUGGCGUCGCCCAGUGGCGCAGGACAUGUCGCCGGACUUGCCUCGACGACCUCUUUCACCUAGUUCCUUUAGAAAUCGAUUUUGACUUACGGAAACACGAAAAAAUCAAUGAACAGUGCUCGGGUGUCGGGAUUUCUCGCCCCGAUCUGUGCCGGCCGAUUUUCUUCGCAAAAAUUCAAUCAAAAAACAUCAAACAGGUUGGGAAAACGUGAACUAAGGCUCUGAUACCAAUGUUGGGAAUAACGGAUCCCCGAAAAUCGGAUUCGACACUAAAUCGAACCCCUAAAGCAAUGCGGAAGACGAAACCCUGGAAAACACGUAUCACCGAUCGUAAAGCACACCACAGAUUCGAGCGUACCUUGUUAGCCACAGAUUAGACACCAAUGCCGAAGAUUGAGGAAGAAAUUCUGAUCCGAUGAUGUCAAUUUGCCUUGAAAGGGAGACCGGCGUCGCCUUAAGCGUACUGUUCUUGUUGGAGGGAGAGAGGGAGAGGAACGUACGUUCAUUGUGCCAACAGGUGUGUUCUCUCUCUCUCUCCUCCCUUUUAUACCUUCCCCCAUCCACGGGCUCUAUUCCUAUGGGCCGGGCCUUUUGGGCCCAGCAUGGGCGGACGGGCCUUAAGCCCAUCACCAAUUAAAACCAUCAGCAACCCGUAGAGUCUCAUUGAUAACUUGAAAACACAUGCAUAGCACAGCGUUAAAGUUCGGAAAGCUAAUAAAAGCAUCAUGCUUUUGCCAAACCCAUGGCCACGAGAAUGCUGUUGGAAUUACGCAUUGUGUAAAAGGCAGACACCAAAAUGAAGACCAAAAUGAUCAUCUUUGGAAUUUUUCAGAAACAACAACUAAAACAUCCUAGACCAUACGACAAAUGAGAAGCGGUUCCUCCAUCGGAUAUCUGUUUGGCUUGGAGAACCCGAGCCAAUUUCUGUUCGUGUUGCUUCUCCCUCCAAGGUCCUUCUAUUAUCAUUUUGUCUUGCAGGCUUUUUCAAAUUAAUCCAUGCGUUUGUAUGUUGAAGUCCUCUGUGGCAUUGGUUUGCUGUUUUCUUUCGCUGAGUGGAGAAACUGUGAUCCUUUCGACCUGCUACAUCAAUCCGCCUCCUACACCUCUAUCUCAAAUGGACUUGGGUUGGCAUUGGCAGGUACACACUAUAGUCGGAUAUCAUGGACGGAUUGUAGCUUACUACUACCGGUUGAAAUUGACUCGAAUUUUGUAUUGAACUAAGCAAAUGGAGGUUAUUUGGGUUUGCAGACAUGUAGCGAGAUUGCAUCCCUUUGGAGCAUCAACAACAAUACUAUGUUUCAACUAGCUCCCUCUGGUGAUCAGAAGACAGGUAUCUUGGUAAGCACAAGAACAACUGAACGCGAAUGUUCGAAUUUCUCUCUCGACAUGAAGAGCUUUUCUCUACCAUCAAUGGUAGUUUUACUUCUAAACCCUAAUGGUUAUAUCUCAACCCAACUUUCCUUCUCUGCUUCUCCACCAAACCCAUAAUUUCAUCGCACACAUGAGUCCGUUUACUUCUCAAUUGCUGUUCUCUGGUUCGAUUUGAUUUCUUUACUCCUUCUGGGUUUUUCCUCGUUCGAGUUCCAACGAUGAUUUCUUCUUCUCCCUGCAACGAUUGCUCUUCGGAUAGUAGUCAUACCUUGGUUUACGCACAUCCACUGUCGUGAAUAAUAGUUCAGCUCAACCAUCAGCACAAUUGACCAUCCCCUGUCCUUUUUACUUCGCCGAUUUUGCUCUGCAUGUACCAAUUCCAUGUGGCCUCAUCUUAAGUUCUUGUCUUCUCCCCUUUAAUCUUCAUUCGUUUCAUUUGGGGUUCUUUCUAUGGAUACUCCUGAACCGGAAGACGAAUGGCGCCUUGCUGCCCUCUGCAAUCGGAUGGGCCGUCUUUGGCCGGAACAAGAUAUAGACGUCUGGGAUGAACAGCUUCCGCUGGAACACAUCGACACAUGCAAGAAAACGUUAGUUGGUACAAUUCUCUCAAAUCCCUCAAUCAAUUUUACAGCAUUUCAGAGCACUUUAAAGCGCGCUUGGCGCAACGAGCAAGUUGAGAUUACACAACGAGAAACUAAUAUAUAUGUGGCGAAAUUCAAUUCCGAGAGUGACAAGCAGCGUGUGUUAGAGGGUGGUCCGUGGCAGUUUUCUAAUCAUCUAGUCAUAUUCAAACCUUGGAUAGCCAAUACACCCUUACAUUGUUACGAUUUCUCGACGUGCGCAUUUUGGGCCCAUGUCAUUGGACUUCCACUGGAGUGGUGUACUUACUAGAUGAUUUGCAAAGCUGUGAAACGUAUAGGUAGAGUGUUGGAGGUUAAGAGUGAUACAAAGGAUGGUGCAUUACUCAGAGCCGGGUGUGUUCGAGUUGAUAUUGAAUUGAGCCAACCACUCAAGAUGGGACAACUGAUUCGUAUAGAUUGCAAGACCAUAUGGAUUGAUUUUCGUUAUGAACGGCUCUCUCAUUUUUGCUAUUCCUGUGGUCGUUUGGGUCACUAUGCUAUGUACUGUCCAGCCAUCCUAUUCACUGAAGUGAAAAUGGAAGGAAAGGAAAAGAUGGCCUUUGGCCUGUGGCUUAAAGCAGAGGUUAAAAAAUAUAGUCCGUAUUGGCUCACCUUUUAUGGGGCCAAGGUCGAUCCUGUUGCGACUCCAUAAACUAUUCCUGAAACUCCUCCAUUCCAG